RNAcentral lists this ribosomal RNA (207 nucleotides) under uncultured bacterium. Its description in RNAcentral is "partial 16S ribosomal RNA". It matches the Rfam family "Bacterial small subunit ribosomal RNA", at positions 568 to 774 of the family's 1533-position model. The record is from RNAcentral.
CGCGCAGGCGGGUUGGCAAGUCAGAGGUGAAAUCCUACAGCUUAACUGUAGAACUGCCUUUGAGACUGCUAAUUUUGAGUACGGAAGAGAGAGAUGGAAUUCCAGGUGUAGUGGUGAAAUACGUAGAUAUCUGGAAGAACACCAGUGGCGAAGGCGAUCUCUUGGUCCUUUACUGACGCUAAGGCGCGAAAGCGUGGGGAGCAAACA